UUCAUACAAACACAGACUCAUUCUCUCUGCUGAACUACAAUCAGAUUUCAGAAUUCAAUCUUUCUUCUUCUCAAAUAAUACCAAUCACAUUUCCAUUCCAUAAUUCACUUUACAAUAUUCAGAAACUUUCAAUCCUCUUAUUCAAAGAAAAUAACAAACAAAAGAAAAGAGGUAGCACCAAGCUUACCCCGACUCACACUAUCACAGCUAUGGCCCUCAGCUCACAACUCUCACUGUCUGGCCCCCUAAUUAACUUCUACAACUUCUAUAUACUUUCCCCUGAUUCUCCAGAUUCUAACCGUAAUUCUGUAAUUAAUCACUUUUAAUAACUAAAUCACUCAUCCAUCCUCCUGAAUUUCCUAUUAUAUGGACUAUUAAUAUAUUUUACCAAUAUCUUUCAAAAACGAAUUAAUAUCUAAUCUACAUAGCUCCACUCCUAUCUGUGCAGCAUCCUCGCAAACACUCAAUUAAUACCUAUCUAAAAAUUAUCUAACAAAACUCUAUAAAAAUUGCGAUCCUUCUAACCUAUCUAAUUAAUCAAUUGUCACAGUAUCUGUUA
This 559-nucleotide long non-coding RNA is filed under the name Physcomitrium patens. Its description in RNAcentral is "long non-coding RNA (PPAT_LNC012991)". Lineage: Eukaryota; Viridiplantae; Streptophyta; Bryopsida; Funariales; Funariaceae. The record is from RNAcentral.